AACGUAGGACACAAGCGUUAUCCGGAGUUACUGGGCGUAAAGGGCGUGCAGGCGGUUUCUUAAGUCAGGCGUGAAACCAUUCGGCUAAACCGGGUGUAGUCGUCUGAGACUGGGAGACUAGAGUGUGGUAGAGGCGUGUAGAAUUCCGGGUGUAGUGGUGAAAUGCGUAGAUAUCCGGAGGAAUACCAGUGGCGAAGGCGGCACGCUGGGCCAUUACUGACGCUAAGACGCGAAAGCAUGGGUAGCGAACGGG
RNAcentral lists this unclassified non-coding RNA (253 nucleotides) under uncultured Anaerolineae bacterium. Its description in RNAcentral is "contains 16S-23S intergenic spacer region". It matches the Rfam family "Bacterial small subunit ribosomal RNA", at positions 524 to 776 of the family's 1533-position model. The record is from RNAcentral. Lineage: Bacteria; Bacillati; Chloroflexota; Anaerolineae.